This is a non-coding RNA of Clathrus columnatus, 81 nucleotides long. NCBI's taxonomy places the organism in Eukaryota, Fungi, Basidiomycota, Agaricomycetes, Phallales, Clathraceae. The record is from the annotation of a GenBank genome assembly.
GCACCUAUGGCUCAAUGGCAGAGCGCCAGACUUCUAAGCUUGUCCAUCUGGAGGCUGCGGGUUCGAGUCCCGCUAGGUGUA